Long non-coding RNA from Oxyura jamaicensis (ruddy duck), 4272 nucleotides. RefSeq lists it as uncharacterized. The transcript has 2 exons. The record is from RefSeq and is a predicted model, not a curated record. Lineage: Eukaryota; Metazoa; Chordata; Aves; Anseriformes; Anatidae.
CCUUUAAAUCCCCACCAGAGUCUGCCGAGCGCUGAAAGCGAAGCCGCUUGUCAUGAUUCUAACGUUAAUACACUAUGUGCUCUUCAGAACUGGAUGUACAUCUAUGAAACAUGCAAAUAUCACACAGUUGUAAAUAAAGCCUGAUUUCACGCCACAAGGGCUGUACCCAUUUGAAGUACAGCUGCAGAUUCAGGGUACCACCUGGUUGCUUGUGCUUCUGCGAUACCGUAUCUGAGUACGUAAGGACAUACUCUUUUAACAUUUGCACGACUACUAAAAGAAUCCGUUCCUGGAUCAGAAAGAUAAAAAGCUUGUUCUUAUUUAAAUCUGGCUUCCUGCAGAACUUGUUUGAGGCUUUUCUGCCUGGAUUGCAUCUACAGAAACCUUUCCAAAUCAACUUAACGUAAUUUAUUCCCAGUGUUUCUGUUGCCAGGAGUUGAGAUUUUAAAAACAACUAGCUUUUAUGAAAAAUUUUAAUUAUUUCUUUAUACAAUAUCUAUAUAUUUUUAAAUCUUCCUACGGAAGUUCUACAGACAUGAUAUAAGGAAGUAUAUUUCUACAAAUGUUACUUUUAAAUCAAAGCUUGCUUUCUGCGUGGGAACUAUGUUUCAUGUGCUCUCUCUGGUCAUACUUCUUAUUCUCAUAAGGUGCUAAAUGACAGAAAAUGGUUAUUUAAAUUCAAUAUGGCUGCAAACUAUUUUGUGUAAAUUCUAUAGCUGUAGUUGUAGCAUAGUUCUUUGGCAAGCCUCAAAUAGUAAAUCAUUUGUCAGUCUUUUAUGAACCUUGCAUCUCAAGAUUUGCCAGCCUUUCUUCUUUGUAGUUUUUGAACUGUAUUUAUAGAUUCUGCUUUUUGUUUUUAAGCUGGCAGAUGGCCAGUUAUUUAUCUGCCUUCAUAUGUAUUGUGUACGAGGGAAACGGAACAUUUUGUAUGCUAAUAUCGUGCAUGGUGCAUACUUGGGGCAAAAGACUGCUUGUAAGCAGAAUCCAUUAUGUGACGAGUCGGUAGCUCCUAGUCCGUUCUCGGUCAGCGAACAAAGCCCCUUUGACAUUGCUCUAUAUUAAAAGUUAUGAAAUAACACAAGCUUAAUGAACAAUCAAGGCACAAUGCUGCUACUAUGAAGCGAGCUGUAUUGUCCGUUUCCCCUUCUUUCUCUUCAGAGUUCAAAAAUUUGAAGCCCUCUUCAUACGUUUGUCACUGUUAGUCAUGUUGAAAUUUAUUCCUCUGAAUUUCUGAUGCCGCUUGCUUUGCUGUUCUUUUGCUGUGCUGGUAGAAAAAGGUAAAAGCACAUUGACUUUUGGGGCAGCUGAACUCACUGGUGGUAACAGAAACUUUGGUUUCCUUCCUUUUUCUGGCUCUCUUCCUGUCGCCUUUGUCAGGUUUCCUUUUCCAUCACCUCUCUGCCCCGGCCGGUUCCUUACAUUUACUUUCCUUUGCCAGGGCACACGGCCGUCAGGUCGCACCCAGGGUGUUGCGGAGCUGCUGGAGCCCUGAGGAUGCCUGCUGGAGGAGGAUGAGCAGCGCUUCUGCCCCCAGCGAAGGCAGCGCCUUGCUGCACGGUGCUCUGUUUGCACCUUGUGCCACACACGGGUUGGGCAGGACCCUUCACCAGGCAGCAAAUUCUGACCUACACAUACAAAUCCCAAAGGCGUAUUUGCAAUAUAUUAAAAUCAGGUUAAUUGGGGCAUGCAAACGUAGGAGUCUUUAAAACAGUGGGAGAAAGAGGAGCAGAAGCUUUUAGAAGACAUCUUCAGUCGUACUGAAGUAUGAAACAGCAAAGGCCCUUUGGUUAACUAUAAAUCUGGAAACAAAUUUAAAAAUAUGCUUGUUGCUCUGUUGAAACACAACAAAAUUAAUGUGCCGUUAAUACCAUCUUGGUACUGGUUGUCCAGCUGUCACGGUUCAUAAUACCCUGGCAGCUGAUGGUUUUAUACAAAUUCAGGCUCUAAAAAACUGCACCUGUUUGUUUUUGCCACUCUUGCUGCAAAAAAAAAAGGGCCUGAUGUCUUCAGCUAGUCCUCUCGGGUAAAUCUUUCUGCCUUUUCCAGUUUCUCUUGCAGUCAGGGUUGUUUUUCUCUGUUGUGAAUUGCUUAGCGGGACUGCUGGACACUUAAAUCCUGCACUCACUUCUGUUUGAGAUGGCUCCCCCGUUAUGAUAGGUAAACUCAUUUCUGAACACAACCUAUAAAAUGUUUUACAUUUGUGCAAUAUUUCAAGAUUACAGAUAAUAAUUAAAAACUUUGAUAAAACUGCCACAUUUGAAGCCUAUAGCUGUUUUGAGUCAGAUGUCUUAGCCUAUUUAUUUACACAAUAUGACUAAGCUUACCUAGAAAUCCGAAAUUCAAGGCUGGCAUUGAUGAAAGGCUCUAUUGGCAGUCUCUGUCCUUUGCCAGCAAAUUGACAUAGUAUAGUACAAACCUUGGGAAUUUGCUUGGAAACAUAUGAGCUUUGCAUCUCUUGUCCCUUGUGAAGAUGACGUGGAUUUUUAUGAGCGUAAAUGUUAAAGAUCUGGGGGUCCAUCUCUUUUCCAAAAUACGGCAACCAGUGGCAGUACCCCUUCCAGCACCUUUUCAGGCCUUCUGGAAAGUUUCCAAGUGGAAGACUCCCACCUCCUUAAUCAUGAAAAAAGCCUGCCUCUCCUCUGAAUGUCAUUCAUUCAAGUGUACUGACCUGCCCUGACCUUGUUUAGAUUGAGAUCUAAUGAGCCCACGGUCCAAGGUGGUGUGGGAGCUCACAGCAGGCUUUGCAAAUAAGCAAGUGUUGUGUUUUUCUGUAUGCAUGUGUUUUAAAUUUAUCACGUCAAUAAACAAGUGUAUCACACGCUCGAGUACGGACUUUACGGCGUUGUAGUUAAGAAUAAAUUGUGCCACUACAAAUUGUGAUGUCACAUUAUAAAUAUAAAAGGAGACAAUGUGGAAUAUUUAUGACCUCAAAACAAUGAAGUCCCCUGUUGAUUUGUGCUUUUUUUUAAAAAAAAAUAAAUAAUGAGGUAAUGCUAAAACUCUGAAUCUGAACGGCUCACAAACUUUGGGCUCAUCUCUCAGAAAAACAGUCACGCUAAUGGUACAGGGAAAGAAAGAUUAAAAAAUAAUGCUGUUGAUUCCGAGGAGAGAUGCAUCAGUAGAAUAUCAUAACAGGGGUCAUUUGAGUUAAAAUAAAUAUAGCUAGGCUUCAAAUUUCAUUAAAAGGUUUGGCUUUAUUUUGAGUCCCAGAAUCUGGGGAAGGUUGGUUGGUUUCUGUUGUGUUUUGUGAUUUCUUUUUUUACAUUAUGAUAAAGUGAACCUCAGCUUCAGUGGAGAAUCUGCACCAAAUGCACACAUUUUAUGAAACAGAUAAAACUUGAGGCUUUCAAAUUAAAAAAAAAAACAAAAAAAAACAAAAAAAACAGUCGAGGGCGGAUUGUAGUACCUACUGCUGGCCUAAAUCGUGUUGACACGAAUGGAUAAAAACGUAGCUGGAAUGAGAGAGGUCGUCUGCAAUGCAAGCGUUCGCAGGCUGUAUGAGUCCCAAACAGAAGCCUACUGAACCAUAUUUUCGUUGGGCCGAAUUACGGUCUGUGCUAUCAGAAGGGUACCUUAAGCUAUAAAUCCCGACUCUUUCAACCCUGGAAUAGCUCCAGCCCCAAAGGGAGAACAAUGCUGGUGUUUCAGAUGGCCUACAGUGCAGAAAUUGUUCUGCUGGAAACAAACGUUGUUAGGGCUUGGUAUUUAUGUUGGGACCCACUUAUAGGGAGGGAGCGACUUGUUUUGUUUUUAAUGGAGUGGUCGGGAGAGGGAUAAAAAGCUUUUUGAUAAUGUAAGGAAUGCGUGGGGGAAGGGAAGGUACAGAGAUACGCAUUUACUGUAAGUAUGAAGGAGCAGAGGCCUCUUUAUCAGAGCUGCUCUAAUGAUGUGCCACAGUCACUUUAUUUGAAAGCUUCAUGGCUCACAGAAAAGUAAACAAAUUCAUUACAUUAUUUUUAAAAGAAGAUUAAGUGUAGUGUGUCGUCUGUUGGACAGCUGCUCUAGUAAUCUUUUACAAACACUUUAUAAAUGACCACCCUCGGUGUUUUUCUGGGCUUUGUGUGGCUGGAUUGUUAUUUUAGUAAGUACCAGGACAGUUUUUCCAAUGAAAACGGUGUUUCCUGUAAAACAAUUACAUACCUACCUUCUCCCUAAAUAUUAUUUCUUCUUAGCAUGAGGUAUAAAUGUCUGCUAUACAAACGCAUCGUCUGUUGAGAUUUUUUGGGUGGAUGCUGGCUUUCCAUAAUAAUAAAUAAAAAGCAUUUUAAACAA